RNAcentral lists this long non-coding RNA (1887 nucleotides) under Malus domestica (apple). RNAcentral's name for it is "long non-coding RNA (MDOM_LNC005505)". The record is from RNAcentral. Lineage: Eukaryota; Viridiplantae; Streptophyta; Magnoliopsida; Rosales; Rosaceae.
UGGACUGAAUUUCAAGUCUCCAGCCAAAAGACUCUCUUGACUGAAGACUUGGGGGACUACUGUUUAUACCAUACCUAGGGCAUCCGUAUUUAGACCUCGUAUAAAUACUCGGGGGACUCAAAUGUAAUUAUGUAAUAAAUGAAGGGGCAAAUAUGUAAAAAGGGGAGGAGCCCUUAGUCUAUAAAAGGGUCUCUUCACCCUUACAAUCCACAAGCUCUCAGAUUCAGAGCAAGCCCUAUCACCCUCUCAAAGCCCCACUCUCACAUUACAGAGGCUCUUUCCCUCACAAUCAUCUCAGAGAAAUACAAUAUCAGUGUGGACGUAGCCCAAACAUUAAGGUGAACCAUGAUACAUCUUGUGUUAUUUACUUUCUUGCAGAUUCACGGUCGGAUUUACGUUGUUCCAAGGCCCCUCCGAUUUUGUGCAUCAACAUUAAUAAAUAAUAAACAUAGGGAAGUAUUAUUGGCACUCCAAAAAUAUCAUUCUACACUUCUCAUAAGUGUAUUUUUCUUUCCCAAUAUAGAAAGUUUGGAGUGUAGAAUGAGAUUUUUUAAGUGAUAAUAACAAUUCCCCAAACAUAUCGUUGUCAUAUGUAAUAGUUAUUCUAUUUAUCUAUUUAUUAUUUAUUUUUUGUUCUUUUUGUUUUUAAAUCUAAACCUAUAGUCGUUGUUGGGUUUUUAGAAUGAUUUAUGCUCUCUUAGACCUACUGGAUAAGAACUCGACAUCUCGCUUGCGUCUAACUGCAAGUUCCCUUCACGUACCUACUGAUGUCGUAGUUACCAUACGAAGAUUUCAUUUUUUGGAAAACUAAUGAAAAGUGUUUGAAAACUUUGAAUUUUAAUGAUGAGGACAAAAUAAAGGGUAAAGUGAAUAGUACCAUGAUUGACUUUUUAGUGUAACAAUGUGAUUUUUCGUUAAAGUGAACAGUACCGCAGACUUUUUAUUAAAACUCCCUUGAUUUUUCUAAUCCAUUGACCUCAAUAAUUAAGGGUUGUUACCAAAAGGACAAAUGUAGCAUCACUCAAUUAAGAAGUGGGCUUUAGUGAGUAAAGGGGAACGAAUAUAAUCUCCCUGGUUGCUUUUCUAACUUCAAUCACAUGGUACAUAUUCUGAUAUAGGAUGAUUUCUUUUCGAUUUUUAAUACAAGCAAUAUUUGGAACAAAUAUUUUAAGGUGUUCUAGAGUAUGUGAUACAACAGAAAUAUUUUGAUUUUUAUAUUAAAAAAAAAUUAAACCUUAAAACACUUAAGAGUAUCUCAUACUCUAGGAUACCAUAGAAAAUUUCUUAGAAAGCGAGGAAUUGAACUCUAGUUCAAGUGUCGGGGUGAAUGUCCUGAACAAAUUGAGUUAUAAGCCUCCUGCAUAUGCAUGUUUCUUUUUGUUUUACUCAUCAAAUUAUAUUUUCAUUAAUGACAACAAUUAUUGUGGAGCAAAAACUAACUCAAUAAAUUCUAGAUCUAACAUGUGAACUCUUAUAAAAAAAAAAAAGAAAAAAAAAAGAUGAGAAUGCACUUAUUAAAUUGGCAAGGCUCACAUUUAAUCCACGUGCAGUUUAAUAUCCUUGAAGUUUGAAGUCUUAAAGAUGAGAUUAAUUACAAAACCUUAUCUUUAUGUUUUCCUAAUUGAAGGUCAACUUCAUCAAGUAAGGAACCACAAUCAUAUCCAAUUAAGGAUAUUACAAGAUAAUCUCAAGAUAUUAUUUAUUAAAUAAUAUCUUCGGGAUAAUUCUUUUCUCUUUCAUUCAAUGGAUGAUUCACCUUGACCAAUCUUAUGCCGGCAAAUGUUAGAGUAAAUGAUGCGUAAAAUAACUAAACACACAAAUUAAACCCUCUUUUGUCAAAUUGUAGUAAAGAUGUAAGUAGGGAUCGUUCUAAACCGGGGAUUAGGA